AAAGAGGGAGGUAAUGCGAGACCCUUAUCAUAUAUGUCCGCGUUUAGGGAUUGUUUGACUGAUUGUUCGCUAGAAGACCUUGGUUAUAUUGGCAACAAAUUCACUUGGAAGAGGGGGAGAAUCAGAGAGAGACUGGAUAGAGCUGUGGGGAACAUGGCAUGGGCUGGUAUGUUUCCUGAUGCAGCUGUGCACCACCUUACUAUGGGUGGUUCGGAUCACAGGCCGAUUAUGAUCGACACAUCUACGUAU
This 249-nucleotide ribosomal RNA is filed under the name Triticum aestivum (bread wheat). Its description in RNAcentral is "partial small subunit ribosomal RNA". Lineage: Eukaryota; Viridiplantae; Streptophyta; Magnoliopsida; Poales; Poaceae. The record is from RNAcentral.